AGAGUUUGAUCCUGGCUCAGAUUGAACGCUGGCGGCAGGCCUAACACAUGCAAGUCGAGCGGUAACAGAAAGAAAGCUUGCUUUCUUUGCUGACGAGCGGCGGACGGGUGAGUAAUGCCUGGGAAUAUGCCUUAGUGUGGGGGAUAACUAUUGGAAACGAUAGCUAAUACCGCAUAACGUCCUUGUUCAUUACGAGCGGGACCAAAGAGGGGGACCUUCGGGCCUCUCGCGCUAAGAUUAGCCCAGGUGGGAUUAGCUAGUUGGUGAGGUAAAGGCUCACCAAGGCAACGAUCCCUAGCUGGUCUGAGAGGAUGAUCAGCCACACUGGAACUGAGACACGGUCCAGACUCCUACGGGAGGCAGCAGUGGGGAAUAUUGCACAAUGGGGGAAACCCUGAUGCAGCCAUGCCGCGUGUAUGAAGAAGGCCUUCGGGUUGUAAAGUACUUUCAGUCGUGAGGAAGGGUAGUGUAGUUAAUAG
RNAcentral lists this ribosomal RNA (479 nucleotides) under uncultured bacterium. RNAcentral describes it as "bacterial SSU rRNA". It matches the Rfam family "Bacterial small subunit ribosomal RNA", at positions 8 to 471 of the family's 1533-position model. The record is from RNAcentral.